RNAcentral lists this long non-coding RNA (3035 nucleotides) under Homo sapiens (human). RNAcentral's name for it is "HSALNT0390564". The record is from RNAcentral. Lineage: Eukaryota; Metazoa; Chordata; Mammalia; Primates; Hominidae.
CGACAGCGCCAGGGGGUCCGGGAACACCUCGCUCUCCAGCCUUGCCGGGCUCUCCCUGUGGAGAAAGGGAGUUAGGGUUGAGGGGGCUGAAGUGAGAAGCCAGGGCCUCCUGGGGCCUCUCAUUUACUCUGAGUGGGACUUUUUAAGGGACUUUCUUUUCAAAAGACUGUUUGGCCCCCGGGGAAUGCCCCUGCAGGUGCUUCUUGCUGGGCCCUUUCUGAGCCCACUCCUCCCAAGAUGCCCUUCCAGGCUCCUCUGCCUUUUCCCUGUUAGAUGCCCGCUGUGGCCUGCACUGCAAAGGGCUUUCAUCUUCUCUGCUAUCUCCUUUUGGACCUCAAAGAAUCCACCAAGACUGGGGGUGCCUAUCAUAUCAAAGGCCUGUCCUAUCCCCACGUGUCGGGGUGGAGGGCCACCAACAACACUUAUUUCCAGGACAGAGCAGUGGUCAUGGAGCCUGGAGAAGUGUUUCAUUUUUUCUUUCUUUCUUUCUUCUUUUUUUUUUUUUUUGAGAUGGAAUCUCGCACUGUUGCCCAGGCUGGAGUGCAAUGGCGUGAUCUCAGCUCACUGCAACCUCCACCUCCCGGGUUCAUGCAAUUCUCCUGCCUCAGCCUCCUGACUAGCUGGGGUUACAGGUGCACACCACCACACCCAGCUAAUCUUUUGUAUUUUUAGUAGAGACGUGGUUUCACUAUGUUGGCCCGACUGGUCUCAAACUCCUGACCUCAUGGUCUGCCCGCCUUGGCCUCCCAAAGUGCUGGGAUUACAGGCAUGAGCCACCGUGCCCCGCCGAGAAGUCUUUCAUUUUACAGAUAGGGAGGCUGAGGUCCAGAAAGUGAGAGUGAGUGGCCACACGGCAGGUCAGCGGCACAGCUGAGCCCAGAGCCCAGGACUCCUUCAAGUCUCAGGACCAGCAGGACCAGCAUCUCCCUUGGCACCAUCCAAACCACUGAAACCCUAAAGCAGGAAAGAGGUAGAAGGGAGGCCAGCUGUUCCGGGCAAUCCUCGAGCACCCUGGAGAGAGAUGAAGAAGACAAGGAAGGGCCAUUAGAACACAUCACUGUGGACCCAGCUCCUAAAUGAAGCCCAAGUGCAGUGAAGCCCAGGUUCAGCCACAGCCCCCUGCUCACCUGAGGCCCAGGAGGCCCACGCUCACCAGGACGACCAGGUUUUCCAGCUUCCCCCUGAGAGGGAGAGAAAAGACCAUCAUGCCUCUGCCUCCCCACCACCGCCUAGGGGCUGGAAAAGUGGAGAAGGUCUCAGUCUUCUUUGGAUUGUUGCAGGUCAGGUUUGGGGGCCCAGAAUCUUAUCUUUGAAUCUAGAGCUCAGUUUAAAUCUACAGUGAAACCUUCGUUUGGUGAAAUCUGAGUGCCUCUAAAGGAAUUUCUGUCUACUUCUGUCACCAGCAUUUUAAUUUCACCAUCUGCGCACCAAUUUCCCCAAAGGGAUGGGGUUGGGGAUUGCUCUAAGGUGGCUGGGGUGAGGAGAACAGUCACUUUGUUGGGGACAUGGAAUCAUCUCACUAAGCGAAAAGAUCAUUGUUCCAGGGCAGUCCGUGCAUCAGAGAGGACUUGCCCUCCUUCCUCUGAGUAUCGUUCCCAAAUGUGGUGGAGUGGAAAUUGCAGGACCCAACCCAUGGAGGCCAUGGGGUCAGAUGGUAUCUUCUUGCUGGGGAUACUUACAUCAUCUCCAUUCUUUCCAGGGGGACCUGGGGGACCUCGGGGACCCAUGGGACCCUAGAAAAGAUAGAAGAGGUGGUUAGAAUAUGGAUAAGAAAAAAAGAAGGGGAAGGCUGGGAUUGAAGGGAAGAGGUAAGGAAGACCCCAGGCCUGGGAGUUCUUCUAUAGGAGAGUCUGUGUGUUUGUAGAAGGAGUAUGAAUCUGUAUAGAGAGUGCUUACUGAAGCUCCAGGCUCGCCAGGCUCACCAGGGGGACCUUGGAAGCCUUGGGGACCCUUGAGAAGAAGGAAAAAGAUGGGUUAGAAGACAAGUCCCUGUCAACCUUCUCCAAUCUUACCAAGAGAUCUCUGAGCAUCUCUCCUGCCCUCAUCCCAGUCUUCCCUCCAAAAGACCAAAGCCCAAGGAGGCAUAUGAAGACGUCCUGGAUACUCACAGGUGCACCAGGGGGGCCAGGGAGACCACGAGGACCAGAGGGACCCUAUAGAGGGAGAAGAAAGGGGGGUCAUGGUGAUCCCUCUGUAGGAAAGCAUGUGGAUGUAGUCAUUCAUGCCUGUUGGGACCACCCAGUCGUCCUGCAUCCUUUCUGGACUCUGAGGUCCCAAAGGUGAUCUGGACCUCCCAAGCUGUCUAUACCAGCCGCCUAUGCCCACCUCCUCUGGAUACCCAUUCUCUCUUCUGUCAUCCAUGCUCCCCCUGCUGGCUCACCAUGGGGCCAGGCACGGAAAUUCCUCCGGUUGAUUUCUCAUCAUAGCCAUAAGACAGCUGGGGAGCAAAGUUCUAGAACAAACAAGAGAAGUCAGAGUGAGGACAGUGAAUUGAAAGGCAGAAGACGGCACUGAGGAUGGAAGAAACUGACAUCAUGCACUUCCUGGUGUGAUGUGCUGAGAAGAAUAACAUUGCUUUUAAGACAUUCCUGCAAAGAUGCAUCCCUGCAUCUAAUCUAAUGAGACAAUCCCAAAUUGAGGGACAGUCUGCAAAACAACUGGACUCAUCAAAACUCCCAGUGCCACUAAAGACAAAGAAAGUCUGAGGAACGUUCUACAUUUGUGGAAACUAGAGACAUGAUGAUUAAACGCAAUACAUAAUCCUGGACUGGAUCCCAGAUUGGGGUGGUGGGGGGUGGAAUCUAUAAAGGACAUUAUCGGGACAUCGGUGAACUUUGAAUACGGACUGCACAUUAGAGAGUGAAUUUAAUCAUUGUGUAGGUCAGUUAAGAGAAUGCUCUUGUUUUUAGGAAAAACACACCUAAGUAUUUAGGCGCAAAAGAGCCUGAUGUUAGCAACUUGCUCAAACAGUUCAGAAAAAAAAAGAUACAUAUACAUAAACAGAGACUAAUAAAGCACAUGUCACAAACUGUGAA